AUGGGAGGAGAGCAACCAGAAGGACGGAAGCAUCUGCGUCACGUUACGACACUUUCUUUUUCCCCCCUUUCUUUAUUUAAAGGGAAACGACACUAAAUAUGCUCUGAUCAGGAUUUAGAUUCGAUUUUUUUAUUCGUCACAUGAACAUACAGUAUUGCAGUGAAAUGCAGUGACUGUCCACCAGGCUUUAAAAUACAAAAUGCUAAAACAGGUAAAAAUAUAAAACACACAAAAUAAAUAAAUAAAACAAAUAAUACAACUGAUACAAAAGAUAGAAAUACACUACCAUUCAAAUGUUUGAGGUCAUUUAGAAAUGUCCUUAUUUUUGGAAAGAAAAGCAUUUGUAUUUCAAUGAAGAUAACAUUAAAUAAUCAGAAAUCCAGUCCAGACAUUGUUAAUGUGGUAAAUGACUCUUCUAGCUUGAAACAACUGAUUUUUAACCCUCCUGUUGUCCUCAUUUACAGGCACCAAAAAAAUUGGUUCCUUGUCUGAAAAAAAAGUCCAAAAAUUCAGGAAAAAAAAUCCCUGUAUUUGAGAAAAAUUGCAAAACUUUCACAGAGAAAAUUCCAAUAAUUCCUGAAAAGUUUCCUUUAAAAGUUUUAUUUUAAAAAAUCCCCCAAAUUUGGCAUAACAAUUCUUGCAAAUAUUUUCAAAAAAUGACUAAAAAUCUUCCAAAAAAUGAAUAAAAAAUAUCUAAAAUGAUUACAUACACACACACACACACACACACACACACACACACACACACACACACACACACACACACACACACACACACACACACACACACACACACACACACACACAUAUAUUACUAAAACUGCUAAUAUUUUCUUUGCAAACAUUCACAAAAAGUCAACCAAAAUGUAAAAUUUGUUAGAUUUUGAUUGAUUUUUUUGUAAAUGUUCUUAAACAUUUUUAACAUUUCUUUUCUCCCCACCAAACAGUUUCAAAAAAUUUCCCAAAAAUGUUGAAAAUGUGGACAUCACAUUUUCAAACUUUAAAACGGGUCAGUUUGACCCGCAGGACGACAUGAGGGUUAAUGGAAUAUCUCCAUAGGGGUACAGAGGAACAUUUCCAACAACCAUCACUCCUGUGUUCUAAUGCUACAUUGUGUUAGAUAAUGCUGUUGAAAUUCUCAUUGAUGAUUAGAAAACCCUUGUACCGUUUGAUUUAGCACGUGGAUAAAAAUGUGAGUUUUCAUGGAAAACAUGAAAUUGUCUGGGUGACCCCAAACUUUUCAAUGGUAGUGUAGGUAAAAACCAAACAGGUAAAAAUUGUAAUAUUUAUGUAAAUUUCACAGUGCAAAGGUAGCGGACGUGCAAAAGUGAAGAUGUGCAUUCUGUGUGAUGUAACAAUAUUUCCGGUUGUGUGUUUAUAGUCCUUGUUUGUGAGGUGCUGACUGGAGGUCAGAGUUUGAGGGAAAAAGCUCCUCCUGAGUCUCUCUGUUUGAUAAGAUCAGAUUUACUGUAUCUCUGCUGCUGCCGUCGGACUGAUGGAGCUGAAGGAUCAUUCCAGAACAGGAGGACAUUUGGGCUUCAAAAUGUAUGAAUAACGAACCUUCUCUUUACAGUUUUCUGCUCCAUAUUCAUCAAUAAUAGGUAAUAAACUAUCAAAGGCUUGAUUGGCUCAGCUUACACAUCAAUGGUAGCAUUUUUAUUCCAUGUUUUAUUUGUUGUUUGCUAACCCUACUCUAAUCACAGGGUUGCUAAAACUGCAACAAUAAUACCUUCAUAAAAAUGUGUUAUGUCAAGACUCCAUGGGUUCUUUUUUCUGCUCAGUGCUGCAGCCUGCUGGGAAUAUUAAAGAAGCAUCAAAGACUUAAAAAAAAUGCAUCCAUUCUCCAUUCUCUAUGCACCGCUUUAUCCUCACUAGGGUCCUGGGGGGUGCUGGAGCCUAUUUAUACCUGCAGAAGAGGGACAUUGACAUGGUGUUUGUCAAACGUGCCCUGCAGAACUUCACCAGCAGUGUUCAGGCCAUCAGGGACCAAAGCUUCUCUCAACAGCAGCAGCAAGAGGCACCAGGUUCCACAAGAUCAAGGAGAGCCUUAGGAGAACAAGAGAAGCAGAGGCUGUCAAAAGAGAUCUGUGACAAUCCUGGGCCAUGCCAAAGACAGGUUCUCCUUCACCAGCCACCUUGUGAGUGCCGUGCUGCUAGAGGCAGAGCUGUUUGACCAGCAUCUGAAAACAUUCCCUGAAGAGGCUCUGAAUACCACCGUGAGGGCAUUUCACAUGCUACACAAGGAGAGGCUCAGGACUGAGCUUUCGCUCAUCUACGAAAGUCCAGACUUCAGGGGCUGCUGCGAUGCACUGGCACUGUACCAGGUUCUACAGAGCUACAAUCUCCAGGAAACUUUCUCUGAGACUGUGGCACUAUUAACAUCCUCAUCACCACUCUGAUGACAACAGCUGAAGCUGAGAGGUGUUUCUCCACCUUAAAGAGGAUCAAGACAUUCCUGAGAAAUACAAUGGGACAGGAAGUCAGGAACGUCUGAAUGCAUUGGGAAUGCUUUCCAUGGAGGGAGAGCUUGUCAGGAACAUGCCUGAUUUCAAUGAGAGGGUGAUUGAUCGCUUUGCUUGUUUGAAAGAGAGGCGUGCUGAAUUUCAAUACAAGUGAUGAGUGAGUGUGUUCUUGAAUGGUGAGUUGUGUUAUGUUGUACUCUCCAAAUGUUGAAUUGUUACUAGCUGUAUUCAUUGCAUUUUUCCAGCCAAAUAUAUGACAAAUAUGUUCUCGAAAUCUUGGAUUAAUUGCAGUUUUGAGGAUGGUCCAGAUGGACGCGCUUUGUGCGUACGUGCCAUUACAUGGUACGCAAAAUAUUUCGCCAAGGUUGGCAGGUCUGUUGAUCUGAUGUACGCCAAGCGGGCCUUUGUUCACUGGUAUGUAGGUGAGGAUAUGGAGGAGGGAGAGUUCUCUGAGGCCAGAGAGGACAUGGCAGCUCUGGAGAAGGAUUAUGAGGAGGUGGGAGCUGACAGUGUUGAGGGAGAGGAUGAAGGAGAGGAGUAUUAAAAUGAACAUGAAGGCAUUUAGCAUAAAUUAGGAAAUCAAUCAGUUCCAAGUGUUGUUAAAUAUGUUCCAAAAAGAUGUUUUCUUUGUUUGAGUGUUGAGAAAGUUAUAAUUUCAGUUUGUGUAAAAGACGAGUAUAGAAAGAAACAUGAGCACGAGUUAAACAUGAGUAAUUUAAAGUUCAACUUAAAUACGUUCCAAUAAGAGAUUUUUAUUCGUCGUUUUACUGCUUUUAGUGCUGGUAAAUCAAACUGACAGUGAGGAAGAGGAGCAUUUAAAUGGAUAUGAAGCACUGAUUUCAAGUUCUCUCUUAACUGUGUUCAAAAACUAAAUGUUUCUCUAAUUUCAGUUUUAAGAAAUAGAAAAUGUUUGGAUCAGUUUUAAAUAAAUUUUGUAACCUGAAA
Molecule: long non-coding RNA, 3407 nt
Organism: Acanthochromis polyacanthus (spiny chromis)
Lineage: Eukaryota; Metazoa; Chordata; Actinopteri; Pomacentridae
Exons: 3
Source: RefSeq, a predicted model, not a curated record